GGCAGACGGGUGAGUAAUGUAUAGGAAUCUACCUAGUAGUACGGAAUAAUUGUUGGAAACGACAACUAAUACCGUAUACGCCCUACGGGGGAAAAAUUUAUUGCUAUUAGAUGAGCCUAUAUUAGAUUAGCUAGUUGGUGGGGUAAUAGCCUACCAAGGUAAUGAUCUAUAGCUGAUCUGAGAGGAUGAUCAGCCACACUGGAACUGAGAUACGGUCCAGACUCCUACGGGAGGCAGCAGUGGGGAAUAUUGGACAAUGGGCGAAAGCCUGAUCCAGCCAUGCCGCAUGAGUGAAGAAGGCCUUUGGGUUGUAAAGCUCUUUUAGUGAGGAAGAUAAUGACGGUACUCACAGAAGAAGUCCUGGCUAACUCCGUGCCAGCAGCCGCGGUAAUACGGAGAGGGCUAGCGUUAUUCGGAAUUAUUGGGCGUAAAGGGCGCGUAGGCUGGUUAAUAAGUUAAAAGUGAAAUCCCGAGGCUUAACCUUGGAAUUGCUUUUAAAACUAUUAAUCUAGAGAUUGAAAGAGGAUAGGGGAAUUCCUGAUGUAGAGGUAAAAUUCGUAAAUAUUAGGAGGAACACCAGUGGCGAAGGCGUCUAUCUGGUUCAAAUCUGACGCUGAAGCGCGAAGGCGUGGGGAGCAAACAGGAUUAGAUACCCUGGUAGUCCACGCUGUAAACGAUGAAUGUUAAAUAUGGGGAGUUUACUUUCUGUAUUACAGCUAACGCGUUAAACAUUCCGCCUGGGGACUACGGUCGCAAGAUUAAAACUCAAAGGAAUUGACGGGGACCCGCACAAGCGGUGGAGCAUGUGGUUUAAUUCGAUGCAACGCGAAAAACAAAGUCACUUCUUGACAUGAAACUAAACCCCUUUUC
This 870-nucleotide ribosomal RNA is filed under the name Wolbachia pipientis. RNAcentral describes it as "bacterial SSU rRNA". It matches the Rfam family "Bacterial small subunit ribosomal RNA", at positions 97 to 1005 of the family's 1533-position model. Lineage: Bacteria; Pseudomonadati; Pseudomonadota; Alphaproteobacteria; Rickettsiales; Anaplasmataceae. The record is from RNAcentral.